GGAAUAUUGGGCAAUGGACGCACGUCUGACCCAGCCAUGCCGCGUGGAGGAUGAAGGUCCUCUGGAUUGUAAACUUCUUUUAUCUGGGAAGAAACCCAUCUUUUCUUGGGUGGUUGACGGUACCACAUGAAUAAGCACCCGCUAUCUCCGUGCCAGCAGCCGCGGUAAUACGGAGGGUGCGAGCGUUAUCCGGAUUCACUGGGUUUAAAGGGUGGGUAGGCGGGUUGCCAAGUCCGUGGUGAAAUCUCUGGGCUUAACCCAGAAACUGCCGUGGAUACUGGUAGCCUUGAAUACCGUGGAGGUAAGCGGAAUAUGUCAUGUAGCGGUGAAAUGCAUAGAUAUGACAUAGAACACCUAUAGCGAAGGCAGCUUACUACACAGUCAUUGACGCUGAGGCACGAAAGCGUGGGGAGCAAAC
RNAcentral lists this ribosomal RNA (418 nucleotides) under uncultured bacterium. RNAcentral's name for it is "bacterial SSU rRNA". It matches the Rfam family "Bacterial small subunit ribosomal RNA", at positions 358 to 773 of the family's 1533-position model. The record is from RNAcentral.